UACAGAGGGUGCGAGCGUUGUUCGGAAUUAUUGGGCGUAAAGGGCGCGUAGGCGGCGCGGUAAGUCACCUGUGAAAUCUCCUGGCUCAACUGGGAGCUUGCAGGCGAAACUGCCGUGCUGGAGUGUGGGAGAGGUGCGUGGAAUUCCUGGUGUAGCGGUGAAAUGCGUAGAUAUCAGGAGGAACACCGGUGGCGAAGGCGGGUCUCUGGGCCGAAACUGACGCUGAGGAGCGAAGGCGUGGGGAGCGAACGGG
This 253-nucleotide ribosomal RNA is filed under the name uncultured bacterium. RNAcentral describes it as "partial 16S ribosomal RNA". It matches the Rfam family "Bacterial small subunit ribosomal RNA", at positions 524 to 776 of the family's 1533-position model. The record is from RNAcentral.